ACACAUGCAGUCGAGGGGUAACAGAGGUAGCUUGCUACUUGCUGACGACCGGCGCACGGGUGCGUAACGCGUAUAGAAUCUACCUUAUACUGGGGGAUAGCCUUUGGAAACGAAGAUUAAUACCCCAUAGUAUGUUUGAAUGGCAUCAUUUGGACAUUAAAGUUUCGGCGGUAUAAGAUGACUAUGCGUUCUAUUAGUUUGUUGGUAAGGUAACGGCUUACCAAGACUACGAUAGAUAGGGGUCCUGAGAGGGAGAUCCCCCACACUGGUACUGAGACACGGACCAGACUCCUACGGGAGGCAGCAGUGAGGAAUAUUGGACAAUGGAGGCAACUCUGAUCCAGCCAUGCCGCGUGUAGGAAGACUGCCCUAUGGGUUGUAAACUACUUUUAUAUGGGAAGAAUAAGGUCUACGUGUAGACUGAUGACGGUACCAUAAGAAUAAGCACCGGCUAACUCCGUGCCAGCAGCCGCGGUAAUACGGAGGGUGCAAGCGUUAUCCGGAAUCAUUGGGUUUAAAGGGUCCGUAGGCGGGCAUAUAAGUCAGUGGUGAAAGUCUGUGGCUCAACCAUAGAAUUGCCAUUGAUACUGUAUGUCUUGAAUUAUUGUGAAGUGGUUAGAAUAUGUAGUGUAGCGGUGAAAUGCUUAGAGAUUACAUAGAAUACCGAUUGCGAAGGCAGAUCACUAACAAUAUAUUGACGCUGAUGGACGAAAGCGUAGGUAGCGAACAGGAUUAGAUACCCUGGUAGUCUACGCCGUAAACGAUGGAUACUAGUUGUUUGGUUUUCGGACUGAGUGACUAAGCGAAAGUGAUA
RNAcentral lists this ribosomal RNA (814 nucleotides) under Flavobacteriaceae bacterium ACEMC 24-1. RNAcentral describes it as "bacterial SSU rRNA". It matches the Rfam family "Bacterial small subunit ribosomal RNA", at positions 51 to 862 of the family's 1533-position model. The record is from RNAcentral. Lineage: Bacteria; Pseudomonadati; Bacteroidota; Flavobacteriia; Flavobacteriales; Flavobacteriaceae.